RNAcentral lists this ribosomal RNA (253 nucleotides) under uncultured bacterium. RNAcentral describes it as "partial 16S ribosomal RNA". It matches the Rfam family "Bacterial small subunit ribosomal RNA", at positions 524 to 776 of the family's 1533-position model. The record is from RNAcentral.
UACGGGGGGGGCAAGCGUUGUUCGGAAUUACUGGGCGUAAAGGGCUCGUAGGCGGCCAACUAAGUCAGACGUGAAAUCCCUCGGCUUAACCGGGGAACUGCGUCUGAUACUGGAUGGCUCGAAUCCGGGAGAGGGAUGCGGAAUUCCAGGUGUAGCGGUGAAAUGCGUAGAUAUCUGGAGGAACACCGGUGGCGAAGGCGGCAUCCUGGACCGGCAUUGACGCUGAGGAGCGAAAGCCAGGGGAGCAAACGGG